Molecule: ribosomal RNA, 440 nt
Filed under: uncultured Bacteroidota bacterium
Lineage: Bacteria; Pseudomonadati; Bacteroidota
Description: bacterial SSU rRNA
Rfam family: Bacterial small subunit ribosomal RNA
Source: RNAcentral
GGGCCCGCACAAGCGGAGGAACAUGUGGUUUAAUUCGAUGAUACGCGAGGAACCUUACCCGGGCUUAAAUUGUAGAGGAAUAUAGUGGAAACACUAUCGCCGCAAGGUCUCUAUGAAGGUGCUGCAUGGUUGUCGUCAGCUCGUGCCGUGAGGUGUCGGCUUAAGUGCCAUAACGAGCGCAACCCUUAUCGUUAGUUACUAACAAGUAAUGUUGAGGACUCUAACGAGACUGCCGUCGUAAGAUGUGAGGAAGGUGGGGAUGACGUCAAAUCAGCACGGCCCUUACGUCCGGGGCUACACACGUGUUACAAUGGGGGUACAGCAGGUUGCUAGCAGGUGACUGUAUGCUAAUCCGUAAAACCUCUCUCAGUUCGGAUCGAAGUCUGCAACCCGACUUCGUGAAGCUGGAUUCGCUAGUAAUCGCGCAUCAAGCCACGGCG